Oncorhynchus gorbuscha (pink salmon) is the source of this 1258-nucleotide long non-coding RNA. RefSeq lists it as uncharacterized. Lineage: Eukaryota; Metazoa; Chordata; Actinopteri; Salmoniformes; Salmonidae. The transcript is spliced from 2 exons. The record is from RefSeq and is a predicted model, not a curated record.
GGGACAGUGCCCGGAAAUAUAUGAAUUAAAGCGAGAUGUUGUGUCGAACUGAAAUAUUUCAGACUUUAUGACUGUGAAGAGAGGAGGCUCAGAGACGCUGAAACAACGACGACUGUGAUGGUCUGCGAAGAAAAGAGCGAUUGAAGCCAAGGCUCUCCCAUUUUCACCUCAAACCUGAGCUGAACUCCGGAAUGCCGCGAACUGUUACACCCUAUCCCAGUGCCGGGGUCAGUGGGAGUGCGUCUCCUUUUCGCUAUGCAGACGAACCGGGCCCCUCCGUCAACCUCCGUAUAAGCUCCCCCCUGUCUGCGGAAGGAGCGGCCUCCGAUGUCUCCCGGCGCCCGGGCCUUGAUAGCUAACAGCCUUUUACUGCCUUCGCCCACUCCUCCAGUAACAAGAGUGUGAGGAAGCUAAUGGAUGUUGUCAGUGGUGUGUUCUGAGCACUGAUUUAAAAGGAACCCACCAGCCAGGCUUCUCUCAGAGUUAGCCUGACCGCUGGACUACCUGGGUGAGGAGUACGAGAUGAGGAGGAUAGUUAGCUCACUCACGCUACAAAUCACAUUUAUAUCCUUAAAAGAUAUGGAGAUCGAUUAAAUGCCACGGUGUCAUGUGGAAAGUGAAUUCUGUCCUAUAAACAGUCUGUGAGAGGACUCGCCUUUUCCCUCCCUCCCCCUGUUUCGGUUGUAGUCUCUUACGUAAAAGUUAAUUGAGCCACUGAUUUCAGUGCUCAGGUCACAGGGGCUCGAAAUAUACUGGUGGAAACUGCAAACCUCUCCCAGAUUCAUUAGUUUAUUUAUAUAUUACAUGACUAUUCCGGGUCCAUUGUGAAAAAGCAAAAAGUGUUUGUAUUAUUUGUACUUUUUACCCCCCUAUUUUGUGAUAUCCAAUUGGUAGUUACAGUCUUGUCCCAUCGCUGCAACUCCCCUACGGUCUCGGGAGAGACAAAGGUCGUUAAUCCGGAAGCCAGCCGCACCAAUGUGUUGGAGGAAACACCGGCCAACUGGUGACCAAAGUCUGCUUGCACAAGAAGUUGCUAGAGUGCUAUGGGACAAGGAAAUACCGGCCGCCCUCCCCUCCUCUAACCUGGAUGACGCUAGGCCAAUUGUGCACCGCUUCAUGGGUCUCCCGGUCACGGACGGCUGUGACACAGCCUGGGAUCGAACACAGGGCUGUAGUGACGCCUCAAGUACUGUGAUGCAGUGCCAUAGACAGCUGUGCCACUCGGGCGGCCAGAAAAAUAAAAUGUUGCGCAGAGGCU